This is a long non-coding RNA of Seriola aureovittata, 802 nucleotides long. RefSeq lists it as uncharacterized. The record is from RefSeq and is a predicted model, not a curated record. The transcript has 3 exons. NCBI's taxonomy places the organism in Eukaryota, Metazoa, Chordata, Actinopteri, Carangiformes, Carangidae.
GGACAAUCCUAGGAAGCUUCUUCAGAGCAAACAGGCAGCGACGCCGAGGAUCCGAUCGUGAAGGUGCGGCUGGUCCCGGCCGCUGGCAUUGUCCAAAACCCAAAGAGCAGGAAUAAUCGCCGAAUUAGCCGCGUCGGGCGUGACUAUUUAAAAGUCCAUCACCACAGCCUCCAUUUGCUCUGUCUUUCUCCUGCUGAGGCUAAAAAAUGCCUCCCAUGAUUUCCCCAAAAAAAACAACACAUCGACAUAUAUCAGGCCCGGCUGGAAUCAUAAAUAAAGCGGGCUGCCAGCCUCUUGCUGCUUGACAUAGUGAUAACAGAGAUGAGCUCGGGCCAGGGUGCGAGAUGCAUUACAGAGAUGGAACUGAGAGGGAUUUCAUCUCUUUAUUUGCCCGUCCCACCCCCUGAGAAAGUAAUGUUAUUGCACCUUAACAGACAUCUCCUCCGUCUCUCAGCAUGACAGCACAAAACUCAGAGGCGAUAUCACCACGAUAAACAGCACUAAUACUCUUCUUUUUUUUUUAAAGCUCUUUUUAAAGGCUGAGAUAACCUUACUUUUAGUUCCUAUUAUAGGGCCAAACUGCAAAACCCCCUUGAUCCUACAAUUCCCAUGAUGCAACAUCGAUAGCAUCUUCUUGUUAGACACUCCCUGCCUGGUAAAUGCUCUUUCAAACUUCAUGCCUCCAGGCUUUCUGUUCAAAAUUUGUUGUCGAGAUUAAGCAAGUGGAGUCACAUAGAAGACAAAUAAAACUAUUUUGACAGGCUGAGUGCUGCUUCCUGUUACUUGUACAUUUACUGUGACA